ACUCAAAGGAAUUGACGGGGGCCCGCACAAGCAGUGGAUUAUGUGGUUUAAUUCGAAGCAACGCGAAGAACCUUACCAGGGCUUGACAUCCCGCGCAUAGCCAAGAGAUUGGUGAAAUCCUACGGGACGCGGUGACAGGUGGUGCAUGGUUGUCGUCAGCUCGUGUCGUGAGAUGUUGGGUUAAGUCCCGCAACGAGCGCAACCCCUGUUGUCAGUUGCCAGCAUUAAGUUGGGGACUCUGGCAAGACUGCCGGUGACAAAUCGGAGGAAGGUGGGGACGAGGUCAAAUCAUCAUGCCCCUUAUGUCCUGGGCUACACACGUAAUACAAUGGCUGGAACAGAGGGAAGCGAAGGAGCAAUUCGGAGCGAAGCCCUAAAACCAGUCUCAGUUCGGAUUGUGGGCUGAAACCCGCCCACAUGAAGUCGGAAUUGCUAGUAAUGGCAGGUCAGCAUACUGCCGUGAAUACGUUCCCGGGCCUUGCACACACCGCCCGU
This 495-nucleotide ribosomal RNA is filed under the name uncultured bacterium. RNAcentral describes it as "bacterial SSU rRNA". It matches the Rfam family "Bacterial small subunit ribosomal RNA", at positions 899 to 1397 of the family's 1533-position model. The record is from RNAcentral.